Papaver somniferum (opium poppy) is the source of this 2790-nucleotide long non-coding RNA. RefSeq lists it as uncharacterized. NCBI's taxonomy places the organism in Eukaryota, Viridiplantae, Streptophyta, Magnoliopsida, Ranunculales, Papaveraceae. The transcript has 5 exons. The record is from RefSeq and is a predicted model, not a curated record.
CUUUUCUCCUUCUCCUUCUCCUUCUCCUCUUUUACAGACACAUUGAGCUACUUCCUCAACUCCGUCAACAAAAACAACAAAUAUAACUCACAAAGAAGGUUAGAUUUUUGCUAAAUGUUAUGGAUCUUGAACCUGGUACUAUGGAUUCACUUAGAUGUGGUCCUUUUGGUUAGAUCGUUGGACCUGAUAACUCUGUUUUCGGCCAAUCUGGUGCUUGUAAUAACUAGGCUAAACGUCAUUAUACUGAAGGGUGAAGAUUUUCUGUUGGAGAAAUUGAAAGUGGAGCAAUGUAAAGUUUAUUUGAGGAAGAAGGGUUUGAGGUUAACGGUGAAGAAAGACGUUCUUAUUGAAUAGAUCAGGGAACAUCUUGGGGUCAUAAAUGGUAGUGGAGAACAGUAGUGUCCAGUAUCCAUCUUUGUGUAUAAUUUCAAGUCUCUUUGCACCUUACUGAAGAUGGUCUUUGGUGCUUUUCCUUUAGAAACCCCAACUACUCCCCAGGAUGUGAAUAUAUUGUACCCUAGGGUCAAGGAGCUCAUACAAAAGCAUCUUGAUGCUGUGAUAUCCUCUCAGAUAUCCCUUGAAUCUGCAAACUCCAUGAUAAGCUUUGUUCUGUCUGUAAUAAAGGUUUUGACGGAGGUGCAGAAGUUCUUCAUAGACCCAUUCCUUUUGCCAUUAACUCGUGUUCUUCAACGCCUUGCACGGGAUAUGGGCUCAUCUGCAGCUUCUCAUGUGAGACAAGUAUGCUCCGCCUCCCUGAUAUAAUAUUUUCUUUUAUGGACUUUUGAUUAUGGGAUCGUCUGCAGGUUCUUGUGUGUGACAAGUGUUCCACUUCCGUAUGGUUUUACAUUUAUUUAUUUUUAAUUUAAGAAACAUGUUGUGCCAGUUCCUUCAUUGUACUCUCAUGGUUUCUCCAAAAGUUAGCAUCAGGCACCUAUUUUUAUUUUCUCUCAGUAAAUUAUUAGAUAUGUAGCAACCACCCAAUGAUCAUGAAUGGGAUAAUUCUCUUAAAGAACAUAUUGGAUGGUGUUUUUGGUCAUCAAUUUGCUUUGCAAGGAAGUUUUAAUCGGUUGAUUGAACAGUCCUCGUACAAUCAUUGAUACUCAUUCCACCUACUGUACAUUCUUAUCCUAUUGGUUGUUGUUCUAGAAUUUACUUGAUGAAAGUUAAUUUAUCGGAAUCUUGUCCACUUGCAAAAACUAAAAACAUCUGGUACUUGCACUUGGGAUGUCGUAAUGUUUGAACAAAAUGUCAGCCUUUAAGCUAUCUAUCUUUUGGUUCAAUAAGAUUUUUAAUGAAUUCCAAAGCCGUUUAAUUGUCCUGCUUGUUUUGUAAUUUGAUUACACUGCCUUUUAUCAUAGCACCUAGGAGUGCUACUGGCCCUCCAUUUGGAACUAGAACUGUUGCAGGUCGUAUUUUGAAAGAAAGCUAUGGUUCUGCUAACCAGCAACAGACAUUUACGAUUGAAGUAUUAAGGAGCAAAAAAGAGGAACCACUUCCUCCUUAACCCUCUUCUAAUUAAGGGUUGAAACUUUAUGAUCUAAACACAAUGAGGUAGGUCAGUCCAGUCCAGUCCAGUUACGGAAUAUUUUUUCUGCUGUUUUUGGCGUAUAUGAUUUUUUCUUUUUUGCGUACUCCUGAGCUAAACUCUGUUCACAUAUUUCAUUUAUAUGCGGAUGAGGAGAUAAGCAGGCAGGUCUAAUAAAUAAGCAAGAAUGAACAAAAGGAAAUGUGGAAGAAGGGUACUGGACAAAGGUGAACUUCUAAAGUCUGUCCUGCUUGUCAACAAUAACGUCUUGGGUUUUGUUUGAAAGUCCCAAUGCACAAAAUAUAAAUUCAGUUUGUUUUUGUUUUUGCCAUUUCUUGAUUUAUUUGAAGCUAUUUAGUAUUUAGCCUUUAGUAGUACACAUAUGUAAUUGCUGCUAUCACAAAGAUAGCAGAUGACUUUACAAGUUCUCUUAAAUUCUUAGUUUUUGUGAUUAUCUCCAAGGAGUAUUGUACUUGGCUAAUGGAAUCGGAAUGUGGUGGUUUCCCCCAUCACCAAGAUGGUCGUUAUUACGCGUCAUACAAGAAAAGGGAAAUACAAUAUAAGCUGCAAUACGGGCAUGUUCAUCACCUCCUCAAUCUUCCCAUUUAGUCUUAUUUAACGUUUUCAUUUUGCUUCAAUUUUUUUGAUUAAUGAAUUAUUUUAUGACAAGGAGAACAGUUCCAGUUUGCAGUUUCUAUUUUGAAUGUUGGAAACAUAACUUGUUUAUUCUACUAUAGUGGGUCUGAAGUUGACAUCUAUGUGUUUGUCACUGUUGCUUGUUUUUCAGCAAGGAAAGGAUGUUAGAUUUGGUUGACUACAAUGUGAAGAAGAUGUUUGAUGUCAAACUGAAGGAGAUGCUGCAUUGACAACUCAGAUAGCAGAGGAGACUGAGAUAUCCGUGGUCAUUGAAACUGUUAAACAACGGAAGCCAUUUUCGAAGGAAAAUGCUUGAAAGCACUUAUUGUUGGUGCUGGUUUGAUCAGGUAUGGAAGCUCAUUGCUUGUACUAUUUGUGAGAUAACAGGGAGCUCAAUAUAUCUUUCAGGAUUUCCCAUUAUGCCAAAGGUUCCAAACUAGACGAUUAUCAAGUCUUUGGCAUUUAAAUGUUCUGUUACUGAUUAUGUUCAACAUCUUUUAUUCCUGUUAAGUCACUUGAGUCAUUUUCAACAUCUUCUUUUGUCAGCUUUAGGUUUUUAUUUUUUUCCUUAGAAAUAAUCAAUCAGAAUUACAACUCAUCAAGAUUCGGAACUUUCAAGAUCAAAGAUA